ACAGAGACUGCAAGCGUUAUUCGGAUUCACUGGGCGUAAAGGGCGCGUAGGCGGCCAUCUAAGUCAGACGUGAAAUCCCUCGGCUCAACCGGGGAACUGCGUCCGAUACUGGUGGGCUCGAAUCCGGGAGAGGGAUGUGGAAUUCCAGGUGUAGCGGUGAAAUGCGUAGAUAUCUGGAGGAACACCGGUGGCGAAGGCGGCAUCCUGGACCGGUAUUGACGCUGAUGCGCGAAAGCCAGGGGAGCAAACGGGA
Molecule: ribosomal RNA, 253 nt
Filed under: uncultured prokaryote
Description: partial 16S ribosomal RNA
Rfam family: Bacterial small subunit ribosomal RNA
Source: RNAcentral